This is a long non-coding RNA of Alexandromys fortis (reed vole), 3792 nucleotides long. RefSeq lists it as uncharacterized. The transcript is spliced from 4 exons. The record is from RefSeq and is a predicted model, not a curated record. NCBI's taxonomy places the organism in Eukaryota, Metazoa, Chordata, Mammalia, Rodentia, Cricetidae.
UUGAAAGCCACGUUGCUGUGACUAGGGAGAAGUCUGAGGGCCCAGGGUCCUGCUGUUUCAGAGAGAAGCCACAUUCAGGCCUUGUUCUCAUGGUGGAGACUUGUCUCUGUGCAGGAAGGUGUUCUGAGCAGCUAUCUUGUUGGGGUUCCAUUAGUCAAUUUCCUGGUAUAAUUGCCAACAGAGUGAUAACCAUAUUCUCCCUCAUAGCCAAGAACUGGCCUUGGGAAUAGGAGACAAGUACUUUAUGAAACUGUGCUUUCUCCAGAGCAGUUCUGUCUGAUUCACCUCUUCAUCUUUGGCACCUAAAUGAAUGUCCACCAAACCAGCCAGUCAAUGAUCAGCUGAGCCAUUUCAGGAGACUUGUAGUUUGUGAUUGGACAUGUUGGAGGUACAAGAGCUUACAAAAGUAGCCCUGUGACUUUGUUGCCUCUGAAUUAGUUUUUAUUAAAAAUUUUAAAAAUCAAUUAUUUCUUUAAUUAUUUUUUGUCUUUCGAGAGAGGGUCUCAUUCUGCAGCCCUGGCUAGGAAGAAACUCAUUAUUCUAGGCUGGCCUCAGAUUCAGGAUAGCACUCCUGCAUCUUCCUACUGAGAUUGUAGGUGUGGAUACCACCAAAAUAUUUAAAAAGAUUUACUUUUAGUAAUGUGUAUGUGUGUGUUUCCGGGUCAGUGUGUGACAUAUGUGUGCCGUUGUGCAAGAGGCCAGAAGACGGCAUCUGAUCCCCUGGAGCUGGAGUUGUAGGCAGUCAUGAGCCAACUGACUUGGGCUCUGCGAACUGAACUCUGGUGCUCUGGGAGAGCAACAAUGCUGUUAGCCAUUAAGCUACUCUUUCAACCUUAGCAAAACAAUUUUUUCAGAUCAUAAAAUGUUGAUGUAUUCCUGUUGAUUCUCAAGGAACCUUGGCUGAAAAAUAUAGCAGAUAAAUGAGUCCCCAAAUAGGAAAAAAAAAAUCAAAGUUCCUUCAGGAGAAUUUAUUGUGUUAUGUUUUUCUUUCCCUAAGGAGUGCACAGUGUUUUCUCAAAAGGUAAAGUACUAGUUGGGUGGGAAAAGACAGAGUGCGGAGAUGGGAUGAGGCUCGGCAUGGACUCUCAUGAUGUGAGUGCGGGGCUUGGUGUGGGCAACCACAGGUGCACAAAAGGCUGGAACAGGUAAGUGGUGAGGCACUCCCCUUUCUCUUUAGAGGAUAAACUGAGACGUGUAGAAGAAUAGGAGAAGAAGAAUCGAGCAGAGGCAACAGGACCAGUCAGGGACGAGCUGAGCAACAACCUGAGUGAGAUGUGUAGAGCCCCGCAGAGCCAGAGUCAGGGAGCAGAUGGGAGUCUGCCCAGAGAUAAUGGUUUGUAUACUUGGCUGAGUUCAUAAAUCGCCUGAGGUUGGGGUGAAGAGUAGUCUAGGGAGAGGCGUCCGGGGCUCGAGGUCUUCUUGCUGCAAGGGACAGCAUUCUUUCAAGUGGUGUCUUAAAAACGCAUGCAAGUGUUUAUCGUUUGCAUGACGGUGCAUUAACAUAUGCAUUUCUGUGAAAAUACUGUGCAAAACCAGGUAAGAGAUUUAACUUUCCAAAGCCUCAGAGAAAAUUGGUGCUUGACUGGGGAGCAGUGAGCAGCAGUUCUGUGUGAUUUCUGAUGUUCCCAGCAAGGCUGCUUUUUCCUCUGUUAAUGUCAAAUGGGUCUCUUGACAGCCCCGUCCAAGUCAGCCAGCAGGGGUAUUGGGCGUCUCUGCUUAGGUUUAAGAUGCCCUUCCGCUUCCCAUCCAUCCUCACAGCCUGGCUGAACUAACCCACCCCUCAGCUAAGCUGACCCUCCUCUCAUGUCAGGGCUGACUCUGUUCUUAUUCCACCCCCACCUCGCAGUUUUCCUGGUUUAUUUGUUUUAAGGCAAAUAAGAAAUUUAGCUCCAGGUGAAAUUAAGGAUGGUAGCUGGUAAACAGACAAACACACGUGGCUGCUCUCAUGGUGCCCGAGGCUGAGUAUUUUGUUUCUCAAACAGAGUAUCAGUCCCAAGUGGUCGGUCCUAUGCCACUGUCACAGAGCUCAGCUCAGUAAGAAAACACAUAGCCAAAUAAAAGGAUCAGACAAAAAGCCCCUCAUAAGGUGUUUAUGACUUUUAAUCCAUUGUCUCUUCUCAUUAAAUGAGAAAUUUUGUUUCUAUUGUAAAUCAUAUUUAAAUAUGAGAAACUCAAUAGCUUCUGCAUAUGUCUUUUCCUGUGAUGGGAUAAGGGGAAGGUCCUAUCAGGGUCAUCCCGUGCCUUGGUGAUUGCGCUUUCCUCAUUCAGGCCACCUGAGGUCAGUUCACAGCUCCUAAAGUCAAAAGGUGGGAAAGUCGAGGGAGGUGUGGUAGGGAAUUGCUUUCUAAGAUCAUAACCAUAGAGAUGUGUUUUCCUGGAACCUCCUCUUCUUCCCCCCCUAGGCAGAUAAGGGGACUCCACUCUGUCGCACUUCACUGGUAGAGUUUGCUGCUCUGUGAUCUCCAGGAAUACAAAUCCCGUGAGCAAUGUCCAUACUCCAGCAUCCUACUUAAGAGUGUGCAGAGAGGACUGAAAAUGUACCAGGAAUAGGUAGAAGGAGGCAAAGACCAUGUGAUUCUUUUCCUGGCUACUGAGGCUCUAUAUGGCUAUGAAAACAGAUCUCACUUUGUUUUUGGAAGGGAAAAAGGACUGAGGAAAUUCCUGCUGUAAGCCAGCCUUGGACCCUGUGGGUUUGGAUGCUGCAGGGUCAAAAGAGAAUUCCUGCCUUCGAGAAAAUUUCCUUCAUCUGGAGGGGGUCAAACAACAAAGUCAAUAAAUACCAAGUGUGGGAACAGCAGCUGCCUCAUGAUUCUGUCACCGUGGAUGGAGUGGCUCCUUUAUGCUUCCCAUCUCAUCCCCAUCAUCGUGGACUUCAACAUUCUGAAACUGUGAGCUGAAACCAACAUUCCUGGGGCUCAGCAGGAUGGCUCAGUGGGUAAACAUGCCUGCCUUACAAGCCUGGCAACCUCAGUUCAAUCUUUGGAACAGCAGCAAGGAAUGCGAUGAGAGCUAAGGCCUCCUGUCUCCUGGGUGAAACUCCUGAGUUCUGAGGCGGUUAUCCUUGGAAUAAGGAGAAAGGGACCUAAAAGUGUGCUCCUCUGCAGAGACCCUUGUUCCUCUUCCCUAACAUACACCGCUGUUAUUCGCUAUCCUACUGAAACCACCACAUCUGACUUGGAUCCAGUUGAUGUGAGUCAUCACAGACUUCCAGGAUCCUUCUGCCAUCCUUCAGUCUUGGAACUAAUCCUCAUAAAGGUCCCUGUAGGGACCAGUGAGCCACCCUUAAGCCAUGUCUCUCCCUUUCUAUCUACCCCUGCAUUACCUUUCCCCAGAGCACUUGCUUCAUGCAGACUGAGACUUUCCUACUGUGCUCGCAUCUGUACCCUCAAGACAGAGGAUGGUGACAGACACUGUUUGAUAAAUACUUGUUCAAAGUUUAGGCACUGUUCACUGGGAAGACAAACAUUUGCUUGGAGUGGGUCCUUAUAUGGGAAACAGAAUGCAAGACUCCAAAAGUCACUAUGGACAAGAAGGUGAAGGCUAUCCCUUUGAGCUUCUUUUGAUGCCACAUCCUAUGAAGUCUUAUUUCAACAACUGUUAAAUGACAAGGUCCACAUGAUAAAUGACAGGGCUCAUAGUAAUGCUUUGCAAUAUUUGGCCUUUGCCCUUAGGAUUUUCAUCUAUGUUUCUUUGUUGUUGUUGUGUUUUAUUUUGUUUUUAGACUAUAUGUUAAAUUUUGCUUUGUUUUGGGGAUGUCACAACAGCAAAGGGUGGAAACAAGGGAAUAGGGAG